UACGGAGGUUGCGAGCGAUGUUCGGAAUCAUUGGGCGUAAAGCGCGUGUAGGCGGCUUGGCAAGUCGGUUGUGAAAUCCCGGGGCCCAACCCCGGAACUGCAAUCGAAACUGCCUCGCUAGAGUCCCGGAGAGGAAGGCGGAAUUCCCGGUGUAGAGGUGAAAUUCGUAGAUAUCGGGAGGAACACCAGUGGCGAAGGCGGCCUUCUGGACGGUGACUGACGCUCAGACGCGAAAGCGUGGGGAGCAAACAGG
This 253-nucleotide ribosomal RNA is filed under the name uncultured bacterium. RNAcentral's name for it is "partial 16S ribosomal RNA". It matches the Rfam family "Bacterial small subunit ribosomal RNA", at positions 524 to 776 of the family's 1533-position model. The record is from RNAcentral.